UUUACCAUUGUUGAAUCUGCAGGAUUAUCCACAAGUCACAAGUCACUCUGCGAACCUGCUGGUUCUGACCUCAUUGUCCGACGAUGACUGCAGUGAUAAAAUGAACUACAGCAGAAUGGAAAGUGGAAGUAGAUAAGAUGUCAUAAGGAAAAAGGUACAACAAUUUCACAAGGAAGGAGGGGUUCAUUGAUUUCAGAUUGUUUUUUGAAAAAUUAGAAGUAUGAGUUUACUUGACACGGAAUACUUUAGGAUGAUGAAUAAAUGCAACUCUAAGGAAAAUUCAUAAGCAUUAUUGAGUAAACACGAGUUCUUUUCCAUGU
Setaria italica (foxtail millet) is the source of this 320-nucleotide long non-coding RNA. RefSeq lists it as uncharacterized. NCBI's taxonomy places the organism in Eukaryota, Viridiplantae, Streptophyta, Magnoliopsida, Poales, Poaceae. The transcript is spliced from 2 exons. The record is from RefSeq and is a predicted model, not a curated record.